GCAAGUUCUCUUUGUAAUAAAGGCUCUCUAAGUUAUCUUAAGCUCUCUGUUGUUUUUUUUACCAUCUUAGUCAGCAUCUUACCUAGCAUUCGAUGAGUUAUUUCUUUGAUCGAACAAAAUAACUUUUACCAUGCAAUUGGUUGAUAGGAAGAACAAGUCCGCGACAUAGUACAUGGGCAUGGCAAAGAAAAAUCGAAAUAAUAGAGAAUUCUUUUCAAUUCUGGUGGGUUUUCAUUUCUCUGGAAUGGCAUCCAUUUUAUUUAAAUAAAAGAGAACUUUCAGCUUAGGCCAGCUUUCAUUUCUUUUUGUGUCCCACAAUUAAUUAGCGAGUCUCACUUCUUUCACCAAUCACUAUCACACUUGAAAUAUUCGUGUACUUGUUGCCGAUAUUUUUGGUUGUAAAUUUCUAAUAACAAAAGUUGUUGACUUUUUCUUUUAAUUUUUUUUUUAUCUUCUGCAAUUUGUCCUUUCUUGAUUUUUUCUUAAUAUUUCU
Molecule: long non-coding RNA, 493 nt
Filed under: Ricinus communis (castor bean)
Lineage: Eukaryota; Viridiplantae; Streptophyta; Magnoliopsida; Malpighiales; Euphorbiaceae
Description: long non-coding RNA (RCOM_LNC001833)
Source: RNAcentral